GACGAACGCUGGCGGCGUGCCUAAUACAUGCAAGUAGAACGCUGAAGGGGGAGCUUGCUUCUCUGGAUGAGUUGCGAACGGGUGAGUAACGCGUAGGUAACCUGCCUGGUAGCGGGGGAUAACUAUUGGAAACGAUAGCUAAUACCGCAUAAGAGUAGAUGUUGCAUGACAUUUACUUAAAAGGUGCAAUUGCAUCACUACCAGAUGGACCUGCGUUGUAUUAGCUAGUUGGUGAGGUAACGGCUCACCAAGGCAACGAUACAUAGCCGACCUGAGAGGGUGAUCGGCCACACUGGGACUGAGACACGGCCCAGACUCCUACGGGAGGCAGCAGUAGGGAAUCUUCGGCAAUGGACGGAAGUCUGACCGAGCAACGCCGCGUGAGUGAAGAAGGUUUUCGGAUCGUAAAGCUCUGUUGUAAGAGAAGAACGAGUGUGAGAGUGGAAAGUUCACACUGUGACGGUAUCUUACCAGAAAGGGACGGCUAACUACGUG
Molecule: ribosomal RNA, 495 nt
Filed under: uncultured bacterium
Lineage: Bacteria
Description: partial 16S ribosomal RNA
Rfam family: Bacterial small subunit ribosomal RNA
Source: RNAcentral